GUUGGAAAAAGUAAUUUAGCUCCUAAACAUUAAUUAAAUGCAGAUCUCAAACCAAUCAAGCUUCCACUCCCCCCACCCCUUGAUAACAAAUGGUUGCUUCCCUAAUGGCGUACCUGAGCGCAUGGACAUCAGCACAACUGUAUCGUUGUCGUUUAUCGCUUUGCUCAAUCGCAAUUCGCAUAACAUAAUUCCCCGGCAGCAACUAUAUGUUCUCCAUCUUUCAGUCACUUAGGUUGACCCGCAGGUCGGAUCCCAGGGACCCAGGUACCAGAGGCACCACAGAUACCCCCAGGACCCCAGGCCCAGGGAUUACAGGCUCGGAACCAAACGCCGUCAUCGAGGAUGUCGUCCACAUCGUCAACACCUUUUGCCACCCCGAAUGACGACCAUACCAGCAGCAACUAGACGGACAGCAGUCGCACGUCAUCGAUCGGGUGGCGACGCCAAUGAAUGGGUGGAUACAGGCAGAAAUCUUACCGAACCGCCUACUGAAGAAGGAAAACGGGCGACUGAAGGCAAAUAUAAGUCAAGAUACAAGAUGUCCACAGCAGCGACAAUAUCUACAUCAGCGGCAGCAACAUCUACAGCAAUGACAACAUCAACAGAUUCAGCGACAGUGAUGGCAGUAAUGGCAGCAACAUCAGCGACUUCAGCGACUUCAGUCACACUGGUGUGCCAGAUGGUGCCAUCUAAUCGAUGGUUACAGUUGAAUUCAAUGCAUGGACACAAUUAAUUAUGUGAUGAAGCAAAACUUGAUGGAUUUACAUUACAUCAUAAAUCCAGAUCACAGUGUUAUGAAUCAUCUGAACCAAUGCUGAUGGAAUUGAAGAAUCAAAGACAUGGUGCUGUUUGCAUUUAUUCUAGUAAGUCAAAACCUGUGAUUUUUACUCAUUUAUCAGUAUCCAAUUUUGCAGUACCUGUGUUUUUAUGUCAUGGAACUACAAGCUUAUGUUGUUGUUUUAUACACGCCAAGCUCAUACACAGUUGAUAUUUUCCGAAAGCAUUUGCUACAACUUGUUCAGGAACUUGAUUCUGGUCGAUCCAUUAUCAUGGGUGGGGGCAUGGGUGGCCCAGUCGUCUAAGGCGCCAUGAUUCGCUGUGCAGAGUUGCGUCCCUUGGGCACCCCAGAAACCUAUGAUUGUGGGUUCGAAUCCCGGUUCGCCCCAAUGUUUCUA
Molecule: long non-coding RNA, 1175 nt
Filed under: Haliotis rufescens (red abalone)
Lineage: Eukaryota; Metazoa; Mollusca; Gastropoda; Lepetellida; Haliotidae
Description: uncharacterized LOC124127586, transcript variant X3
Source: RNAcentral